Molecule: ribosomal RNA, 426 nt
Filed under: uncultured bacterium
Lineage: Bacteria
Description: bacterial SSU rRNA
Rfam family: Bacterial small subunit ribosomal RNA
Source: RNAcentral
GAGGAAUCUUGCACAAUGGGCGCAAGCCUGAUGCAGCGACGCCGCGUGGAGGAUGAAGGUUUUCGGAUCGUAAACUCCUGUUAAGUGGGAAGAAAUGUCUGUUCCUAAUAUGAGCAGAUAAUGACGGUACCAUUAGAGAAAGCACCGGCUAACUUCGUGCCAGCAGCCGCGGUAAUACGAGGGGUGCAAGCGUUAUUCGGAAUCAUUGGGCGUACAGGGCGCGUAGACGGUGUAUUAAGUCAACUGUUAAAUUCCCCGGCCUAACUGGGGGUCAGCAGUAGAUACUGAUGUGCUAGAGGGUGGAAGAGAGAAGUGGAAUUCUCGGAGUAGCGGUAAAAUGCGUAGAUCUCGAGAGGAACACCGAUGGCGAAGGCAGCUUCUUGGUCCAUACCUGACGUUGAGGCGCGAAAGCGUGGGGAGCAAACA